RNAcentral lists this ribosomal RNA (254 nucleotides) under uncultured bacterium. RNAcentral's name for it is "partial 16S ribosomal RNA". It matches the Rfam family "Bacterial small subunit ribosomal RNA", at positions 79 to 334 of the family's 1533-position model. The record is from RNAcentral.
CUUUCUUUGCUGGCGACCGGCGCACGGGUGAGUAGCACGUAUCCAACCUGCCCUUUACUCGGGGAUAGCCUUUCGAAAGAAAGAUUAAUACCCGAUAGUAUAAUGAUUCCGCAUGGUUUCAUUAUUAAAGGAUUCCGGUAAAGGAUGGGGAUGCGUUCCAUUAGGUUGUUGGUGAGGUAACGGCUCACCAAGCCUUCGAUGGAUAGGGGUUCUGAGAGGAAGGUCCCCCACAUUGGAACUGAGACACGGUCCAA